UCAGUAAUAGUACGCAAUGUUUCAAUCAAAUUAAUUUUUGUUUUUAAAUCGUCAAUUCCAGGAAGAUAGGUCAUUACAUGUUGGACUAAACUUGUCAUCGAUUGUUUCAGUUGGCCAUGCUUUUUAAAGAGACUAACCAACUGUUCGUUUAAGCCUUGGAAAUCACCAGCUCGAAAGAGCAAAUCAGCAAUGUAUAUUAAUACUUUCGUAUUCGUGC
Schizosaccharomyces pombe (fission yeast) is the source of this 217-nucleotide non-coding RNA. The record is from the annotation of a GenBank genome assembly. NCBI's taxonomy places the organism in Eukaryota, Fungi, Ascomycota, Schizosaccharomycetes, Schizosaccharomycetales, Schizosaccharomycetaceae.